This 253-nucleotide ribosomal RNA is filed under the name uncultured bacterium. RNAcentral's name for it is "partial 16S ribosomal RNA". It matches the Rfam family "Bacterial small subunit ribosomal RNA", at positions 524 to 776 of the family's 1533-position model. The record is from RNAcentral.
GACAGAGGGUGCGAACGUUGUUCGGAAUUACUGGGCGUAAAGCGCGUGUAGGCGGCAGCGUGUGUCGGGCGUGAAAUCCCACGGCUCAACCGUGGAAGUGCACUCGAAGCUGCGCAGCUUGAGUCCUGGAGAGGAAGGUGGAAUGCUUGGUGUAGAGGUGAAAUUCGUAGAUAUCAAGCGGAACACCGGUGGCGAAGGCGACCUUCUGGACAGUGACUGACGCUGAGACGCGAAAGCGUGGGGAGCGAACAGG